Pangasianodon hypophthalmus (striped catfish) is the source of this 3921-nucleotide long non-coding RNA. RefSeq lists it as uncharacterized. The record is from RefSeq and is a predicted model, not a curated record. The transcript has 3 exons. Lineage: Eukaryota; Metazoa; Chordata; Actinopteri; Siluriformes; Pangasiidae.
UGUGUAUGCGUGAGCAGAGAAGCAUCGUGCGUCUCGGGGAAGAGCGCCGUGGACUCGGCUUCGUAGCGAUCUAAAUAUUUGGAUUAAACCGUCAUUUGGGUUAAAUGUGAUUUCAUUGUCUUUAAGACAAGUCAGUUCAUUGUAAUGCAGUGUCUAAAAGGACAUUUAAUGUGCAAACUGCAGUGAAUGCGUUUGGAUCAUGUGUGUGUGGACUGAGCUACCUCGUGGUGUAUGCUAAGAAGUACAUGUGGCUGUAAUAACGAGAGAGAGAGUGUGGCAUAGCUGAAGGAACAGCUGAAGGAUUUCUGUCGCCAGUGGUUGAUGGCGGACCAGUGGGAGGCGGAACAGAUCAUUAAACUGGUGGUACUGGCGAAAUUCAUCACAAAGCCAUUCGGAUGGCAGAGGAUCACUUGGCGGCAGUCCUGUUCCAGGAAAACCAGCCUAUGAAAUGAGUGUCAUCCCGAAUGGAUACCAUCAUUACGGGCAUGCAGAAAUCAAAGAAAUGUACUCUGGGGGGUUUAAUGGGAGGACAAAGAGACAGCAAGGUCUCACAGGAAACAACAAUGCACCUCCGACACCAUCGGGUCUAGCUGGCCAGAGAUUAGAGUUAGAUGAAGCUGCACCACCAGAUGAAGCUUCACAGAGGUCACAGAUGAAUGAAGCUGCACCAAAGGACAACACUGAAGAACAGCAGGAAUUUGUAGCCGUAGCCGUUCCAAAAUUAACCACUUGUUGGAGGCGAACAGGAUACUGAAGGAAGAGUUCUCCCAAAAGAAGAUGGAUGAGCAUUUUUUGAAAGAUGAUGUGAAGGUCAAGUACUACACUGGGCUUCCAUGUUUUGCUGUUAUGAUGGGUGUCGCAGCUUCUUCCUUGCCUACUACAGACAGGCCGAAAGCUUUCACCUUUUCAGAUGCUUUUUUUAACUCUGAUGUGCCUGAGGCUGAAUCUGCCAAUCCAGCACAUUGCACACCUCUACUGAAAAGAUUGAAAGACUGUGUCCACCAUGUUCAGAGACAUCAUAGGUACAAUGUUUACAUACCUUAGCCCUUUAGUGCACAGGCCAGAGACAUUGCUUGCUAGGCAGCAUGCCACAUCAGUUUAUGGAGGCUUUAGGCAAUCUUGUUGCCGUUAUUGUGGACUGCUUUGAAAUUAACACUGAGAGAGCAUCAAAUCUGAAAGCUAGAGCAUAGACAUUUACCCACUACAAACACAAGCACACCUUAAAGUAUCUCACUGGCAUUACACCACAGGGAGCUAUCUCUUUCAUUUCCAAAGAGUGGGGAGGUUAUGUCAGUGACAAGCAUAUGACUGAGAAUAGUGGCCUUCUUAAUAAACUAUUGCCUGGAGACUUGGUGUUGGCGGAUCGUGGAUUUGACAUCAGGGACAGUGUCAGACUAAUGUGGGCAGUAGUGAAAAUCCCUGCAUUCACAAGAGGAUGCUGCCAGCUGGAUGCAAAAGAUCCACCAGAUAGGAGGAGACACACCAGAUAGGUCACCUCAGGGUCCAUGUGGAGAGGGUGAUUGGAUGUGUACUCACCAAGUACACCAUACUAAGUGAGACUGUACCAGUGAGCAUGGUACUCCCAUAUGAAGGCAAGGACAUGAUAUUCCUUGACAAGAUUGUGCCUGUGUGCUAUGCCUUGACUAAAAUGUGCCCCAGUGUUGUUAUGAAAGUGUAAAUCAUGACAUAAAGAAUGUUAACUAAAUAUGAACUGCAUAUCCUGCAUUAACAGCAUUAUUCAUAUGUUGCAUACCACAUGUGAAAAAGUAUUUCAAUUCUGAAUCUCUUUAUUUGUAUAACAUAGUAUGCUGAAGUAAAUGUGUACAGUUCACAGUAACAUAAAUACAACAGUUAAAAGAGGUAAAAUGGCAGUGUAAACUUCAAGUACUAACAACAGAUAAAAAAAGGCAAAUAAGUAAACAAGUUAAUACAAAAGGUAAAUUGAAAACCUAUUGCACUGAAAGGUUCACAGUAUCAAUGUAGUGCAAAUACAAUAGGUAUAAGAAGUAAUGUGGUAGUGUAACCUUCAAGUACCAACAACUGAGAUAAAAAAGGCAAUAAAUAAGUAAACAAGUUAAAUACAAAAGGCAAAAUGAAAACCUAUUGUAUUGAAACAACAUGUAAAUUUAAAUAAAAAACAGCAAAUUAAAGACAAAACUAUUGAACAAAAAAGUGUCUGUUCAGCAAUCAAAAAGGAAUAUAUAGAUACAAACACACAGUUGUGCUCCACUGUUUUAGUUUAUCUGUGUGCAUGUGGCACAGAGCCAGGGCACACUUGCUGAAGGUGCCUGACUGAGUCCCACACAGCUGAGGUGGAACCACAGUUUUCGUUGUCAGAAGCCACCAUGUCAUCCUGGUCUUCAGGCCCUCUGCAAAGGCACCACAGUUCGUUUAUGUUUUCUAGUGCCUGUUUUCUUGGCCUUCUUGUUUGAGAUGGCUGUAACCCGGUUAAAGCAUGUGGCGCUGUGUAAGCUGCUCGGGUGUAGUAACAAGCCACAAGCAUGGAUAGUGAAACUUUGUGGAAGAACUCCUGUGCCUUCAUCAGAAGUGUUGUCCAGAAGUCCACAUCCAGUAAGAUCUGAACCACAGCACAGUCUUUCUGCAUCCACACUACAAAGUCACAAAACUCUGACCCAGUCACAAAAAUCUGCGUUUGUUCUUGACUGUAGUACUGGUGUGUCCGCUUCAAGUUUAACUUCCCAUCAGUUAGCUGGAGACAAAAGUUGCUGUCAUCUGCACAGUCCUGCAGGAUGGAGUUGUUGUGGUACUUAUAUGUGCAUUUGAAUUCCAGACAGCCUUUCCCGCAUUUGCAGUGAAUAAGCCCAUCAGGUGAUGUCCCUACUUCAGGAAAUGAGGAAUAUAUUGUAAACUGUAGCAACGAGAGGUCACAGAUGGGCUGAGCACAGACACCCAGAGGCGGAGAUCGGCAGGCUCAGGCAGUGGUUGCUCAUCAGCGCUGAUGUCUAUGUCUAGAGGAAAAAAUAGAGCACACAUUAGUAAGGCCAUAAGGUGCGCCUACCUUUUUCCUGAGAGCGGCUGCUGGCUCCUUUUAUACCUCCCUGUCGCCCCUGUGAGGGUAGAUUAGCACUGCGCCAAUGAUUGGGCGCCAGCCGUGCUGAAUUUCUGCACACUCUGGCUGUCCAAAAGAAAAAGGCAGUCGUGCGAGGAGCGUUGUAUUUCUUCUGUUCGCAGGCUGCCAGCCCCCUAUGGUCUGGCAACACUGGUGGACGCAAUGGCAUGGAUAUCGGAAGCUGUUAUUUUUCUUGCUCUGGAUGUCUACCAGGCAGGUGAUUGAUGUUGCUAUCUCAUCUGAGCUUCCAUCGCAGCCACCUGUGUCUAUGUUAUGACUACCACAUGUGUGAGGACCUCACACAUUCUUUCCUGGGUUUACGAAGGUGUAGUAGGGACUUUUGCACUACACAUGGCUAACAGGGUUCUGGGUCAUUCCAGAAAGACAAACAGCCUUGCUGUGAGUGUGCAAAAUCUGAAGUAGGGGUGACAGGUCCGAAAGUGUGGGCUUGUGCCCACAUGGACUCGUGCAGUCAUCAUAAGUCUGUAUCCCUGACAUUCUUCUCUCUCCACUGAUCUCUCCACUUGUCAAGCGCCUUCUUCUUAGCUGUGCCAGAGGAGAAGUCGAUCUUGUAGCCCACCUCUGCUUUGACCUUGUCCAAACCAGUGGUCAUCAUUCCAGGCUCAGUGCAAUUGUAUAUGAUCAACUGGUUGAUAACCAUUAGGAGCCAGACACUUGUGUAGCUUAGCAAAAAGAAGAAUAAACAAAACAGUGUUUAAGCAUAACGUUAGUUAGCAGCAAAAACUUAUACAGACAACUAAUAAACCUGAAUUCCAAUCACAAUAUAUAAUACUAAAAUUGCAGUCACAAUAGAAAAAAAAGCAGAAGGCAGUAAGAGUGAUAGUGUUUCU